This 231-nucleotide unclassified non-coding RNA is filed under the name Hevea brasiliensis (rubber tree). Lineage: Eukaryota; Viridiplantae; Streptophyta; Magnoliopsida; Malpighiales; Euphorbiaceae. The record is from RNAcentral.
AGACAUUUCAUCACAAUCUGCCUUUAAGUCCGCUUCACUACAUCAGUAAUACGAAGGGUAUCCCCCGAAGGAACCGCCAGUUCUCGCAGAGGAUGAUUGGCCAUACUGUCCAUACUGCAGCCCCUGCAAGCCUGAAGAACCCUGCGAGCCAUAAGCACCUAGCAAAGAACUAGAACUAGUCCCUGCGCCGGCUUCACCCCUUCCGUAAUCCUGUCCCAAGGGAGGAGCAUA